This 480-nucleotide ribosomal RNA is filed under the name uncultured bacterium. RNAcentral describes it as "partial 16S ribosomal RNA". It matches the Rfam family "Bacterial small subunit ribosomal RNA", at positions 899 to 1397 of the family's 1533-position model. The record is from RNAcentral.
ACUCAAAUGAAUUGACGGGGAGGCGCACAAGCAGUGGAGCAUGUGGUUUAAUUCGAGACAAAGCGAAAAACCUCACCAGGAAUUGACAUUGAUCUGCAAGCGCACGGAAACGUGUGACCUUCGAGGGUGAUCAACAGAUGCUGCAUGGCUGUCGUCAGCUCGUGGCGUGAGCUGUACCCUUAAGUGGGACAACGAGCGCAACCCACACCGUAUGUUACAUAGUUCAUGCGGAACUGCCUCGUAAGAGGAGGAAGGAGUGGAUGACGUCAAGUCAGCACGGCUCUUACAUCCUGGGCUACACACAUCCUACAAUGGCGAAAAACAAUGAGCCGCAAGCCGGUAACGGCAAGCAAAUCUCUCAAAUUUCGCCCCAGUUCAGAUUGGGGUCUGCAACUCGACCCCAUGAAGUCGGAAUUGCUAGUAAUCGCGAAUCAGCAGGUCGCGGUGAAUACGUUCUCGCCUCUUGUACACACCGCCCGU